This 253-nucleotide ribosomal RNA is filed under the name uncultured bacterium. Its description in RNAcentral is "partial 16S ribosomal RNA". It matches the Rfam family "Bacterial small subunit ribosomal RNA", at positions 524 to 776 of the family's 1533-position model. The record is from RNAcentral.
UACGAAGGGGGCUAGCGUUGUUCGGAAUUACUGGGCGUAAAGCGCGUGUAGGCGGGUCUUUAAGUCAGGGGUGAAAUGCCAAGGCUCAACCCUGGAACUGCCUUUGAUACUGGAGACCUUGAGUCCGGGAGAGGUGAGUGGAAUUGCGAGUGUAGAGGUGAAAUUCGUAGAUAUUCGCAAGAACACCAGUGGCGAAGGCGGCUCACUGGCCCGGAACUGACGCUGAGACGCGAAAGCGUGGGGAGCAAACAGG